GAACGCUAGCUACAGGCUUAACACAUGCAAGUCGAGGGGCAUCAGGAAGAAAGCUUGCUUUCUUUGCUGGCGACCGGCGCACGGGUGAGUAACACGUAUCCAACCUGCCCUUUACUCGGGGAUAGCCUUUCGAAAGAAAGAUUAAUACCCGAUGGCAUAAUGAUUCCGCAUGGUUUCAUUAUUAAAGGAUUCCGGUAAAGGAUGGGGAUGCGUUCCAUUAGGUUGUUGGUGAGGUAACGGCUCACCAAGCCUUCGAUGGAUAGGGGUUCUGAGAGGAAGGUCCCCCACAUUGGAACUGAGACACGGUCCAAACUCCUACGGGAGGCAGCAGUGAGGAAUAUUGGUCAAUGGGCGCUAGCCUGAACCAGCCAAGUAGCGUGAAGGAUGAAGGCUCUAUGGGUCGUAAACUUCUUUUAUAUAAGAAUAAAGUGCAGUAUGUAUACUGUUUUGUAUGUAUUAUAUGAAUAAGGAUCGGCUAACUCCGUGCCAGCAGCCGCGGUAAUACGGAGGAUCCGAGCGUUAUCCGGAUUUAUUGGGUUUAAAGGGAGCGUAGGUGGACUGGUAAGUCAGUUGUGAAAGUUUGCGGCUCAACCGUAAAAUUGCAGUUGAUACUGUCAGUCUUGAGUACAGUAGAGGUGGGCGGAAUUCGUGGUGUAGCGGUGAAAUGCUUAGAUAUCACGAAGAACUCCGAUUGCGAAGGCAGCUCACUGGACUGCAACUGACACUGAUGCUCGAAAGUGUGGGUAUCAAACAGGAUUAGAUACCCUGGUAGUCCACACAGUAAACGAUGAAUACUCGCUGUUUGCGAUAUACAGUAAGCGGCCAAGCGAAAGCAUUAAGUAUUCCACCUGGGGAGUACGCCGGCAACGGUGAAACUCAAAGGAAUUGACGGGGGCCCGCACAAGCGGAGGAACAUGUGGUUUAAUUCGAUGAUACGCGAGGAACCUUACCCGGGCUUAAAUUGCAGUGGAAUGAUGUGGAAACAUGUCAGUGAGCAAUCACCGCUGUGAAGGUGCUGCAUGGUUGUCGUCAGCUCGUGCCGUGAGGUGUCGGCUUAAGUGCCAUAACGAGCGCAACCCUUAUCUUUAGUUACUAACAGGUUAUGCUGAGGACUCUAGAGAGACUGCCGUCGUAAGAUGUGAGGAAGGUGGGGAUGACGUCAAAUCAGCACGGCCCUUACGUCCGGGGCUACACACGUGUUACAAUGGGGGGUACAGAAGGCAGCUAGCGGGUGACCGUAUGCUAAUCCCAAAAGCCUCUCUCAGUUCGGAUCGAAGUCUGCAACCCGACUUCGUGAAGCUGGAUUCGCUAGUAAUCGCGCAUCAGCCACGGCGCGGUGAAUACGUUCCCGGGCCUUGUACACACCGCCCGUCAAGCCAUGGGAGCCGGGGGUACCUGAAGUACGUAACCGCAAGGAUCGUCCUAGGGUAAAACUGGUGACU
This 1442-nucleotide ribosomal RNA is filed under the name uncultured organism. RNAcentral describes it as "SSU rRNA". It matches the Rfam family "Bacterial small subunit ribosomal RNA". The record is from RNAcentral.